RNAcentral lists this ribosomal RNA (497 nucleotides) under uncultured bacterium. Its description in RNAcentral is "partial 16S ribosomal RNA". It matches the Rfam family "Bacterial small subunit ribosomal RNA", at positions 28 to 507 of the family's 1533-position model. The record is from RNAcentral.
GAUGAACGCUGGCGGCGUGCCUAAUACAUGCAAGUCGAGCGAACAGACGAGGAGCUUGCUCCUCUGCCGUUAGCGUCGGACGGGUGAGUAACACGUGGAUAACCUACCUCUAUGACUUGGAUAACUUCGUGAAACCGGAGCUACUACCGGCUAAUAUAUUUAACCGCAUGGUUCAAUAGUUAACGACGGUUUUGCUUUCACUUUUAGCUGGAUUCGCGCCGGCUUAGCUAGUUGGUAAGGUACCGGCUUACCAAGGCAACGAUGCGUAGCCGACCUGAGAGGAUGAUCGGCCACACUGGAACUGAGACACGGUCCAGACUCCUACGGGAGGCAGCAGUAGGGAAUAUUCGGCAAUGGGCGAAAGCCUGACGGAGCAAUGCCGCGUGAGUGAUGAAGGUCUUCGGAUCGUAAAACUCUGUUAUUAGGGAAGAAAAAAUGUGGAAGUAAACAUGGAUGUUUUGACGGUACCUAAACAGAAAGCAACGGCUAACUACGUG